Molecule: ribosomal RNA, 253 nt
Filed under: uncultured bacterium
Lineage: Bacteria
Description: partial 16S ribosomal RNA
Rfam family: Bacterial small subunit ribosomal RNA
Source: RNAcentral
UACGUAGGGGGCUAGCGUUGUCCGGAAUCAUUGGGCGUAAAGAGCGCGUAGGCGGCCAGAUAAGUCCGGUGUGAAAGUCAAAGGCUCAACCUUUGAAUGCCGCUGGAAACUGUCUGGCUAGAGUCCGGGAGGGGCGAGUGGAAUUCCUGGUGUAGCGGUGAAAUGCGCAGAUAUCAGGAGGAACACCAAUGGCGAAGGCAGCUCGCUGGAACGGUACUGACGCUGAGACGCGAAAGCGUGGGGAGCGAACAGG